GUCUUCUGGGGCGUCUCAAGAAACACCAGUGAACCUAGUUGGCGACAUGGAAGUUAACAAAGAUGAAGCUCAAGUCACCUUCUCAGUCAAGUGGUCAGAGGGUAUUAAACCGCAGAAAGCUAAAGUAGAACUCCAAAAAGUUCUUCAGACUUGGGCCAACAGAACCAAAUGUAACCAAGACUACACAGUUUUAAAUGUCUUAGAGGAUGGGAGAGCUGUGAUAAAGAUUAAACCUGCUCCAGCCUUGAUUGAGCUUCAGAAACUGAGUGGAC
Morone saxatilis (striped sea-bass) is the source of this 272-nucleotide long non-coding RNA. RefSeq lists it as uncharacterized. The transcript has 3 exons. The record is from RefSeq and is a predicted model, not a curated record. NCBI's taxonomy places the organism in Eukaryota, Metazoa, Chordata, Actinopteri, Moronidae.